AUACGGAGGGGGCUAGCGUUGUUCGGAAUUACUGGGCGUAAAGCGCGCGUAGGCGGCGCGUUGCGUCAGGCGUGAAAGCCCAGGGCUCAACCCUGGAACUGCCUCUAAAACUGCUAGUCUUGAGAUCGUGAGAGGUGAGUGGAAUUCCGAGUGUAGAGGUGAAAUUCGUAGAUAUUCGGAGGAACAUCAGUGGCGAAGGCGGCUCACUGGCACGAUACUGACGCUGAGGCACGAAAGUGUGGGGAGCAAACAGGAUUAGAAACCCCAGUAGUCC
Molecule: ribosomal RNA, 274 nt
Filed under: uncultured bacterium
Lineage: Bacteria
Description: partial 16S ribosomal RNA
Rfam family: Bacterial small subunit ribosomal RNA
Source: RNAcentral